GACGUAGGGCGCGAGCGUUGUCCGGAUUUAUUGGGCGUAAAGAGCUCGUAGGCGGCUUGUCGCGUCGAAUGUGAAAACCCACGGCUCAAUGUGGGCUUGCAUUCGAUACGGGCAGGCUAGAGUUCGGUAGGGGAGACUGGAAUUCCUGGUGUAGCGGUGAGAUGCGCAGAUAUCAGGAGGAACACCGGUGGCGAAGGCGGGUCUCUGGGCCGAUACUGACGCUGAGGAGCGAAAGCGUGGGGAGCGAACAGG
This 252-nucleotide ribosomal RNA is filed under the name uncultured bacterium. Its description in RNAcentral is "partial 16S ribosomal RNA". It matches the Rfam family "Bacterial small subunit ribosomal RNA", at positions 524 to 776 of the family's 1533-position model. The record is from RNAcentral.